AGCAGCAGUUGAAAUGGUUUAGCACAGAACUGAUGAAGACCCCGAUGGGAAGAAGAAACACAGUGGUUUCUUUCACUGCCCACAGCACCAUGGCUACUCCCUUUUGAACAACCUUCAGCCCAAAUGAUCCUCCCAAGAAAAUCAACCACCAGAUGCUGAUACCAGCAGAAAUCUAGGAGAAGCUUGUAUUCUAGGUCCUCACAGAAAUGCAGUGAAAUAUUACUUAAGAGACCUCACAGAAGCCGCUUUUUUCUGGCUCCCUAAUGCUAUGAGUAACCUUGGUAAGGCCAAAAUAAGUCAAAAUUCAUCUCAAGGCAAGUCCAAUAACCUCAGUGGAGUUAUGCUAGCAAUGAAUUUGGCAUACUCAGGAGAGGGAAAGGAGGAAUUCUAAUUGCAUGCAUAUUUUUAUUAGAUAUAUUUUAUCUAAGAGAGCCUACGCCUCAAGCUGGUGGGAGGAGCAUCAUCAAAGAAUGAGACAGGCUGCACCACCUCCGAAUACCAUAGCAGCCAGCCACAAAGCAGCACUUAAACUUGUCAAGAGCAUGUUUCCUUCUUGACUGCAGGUUUUGUGCAGAGAUUCAAAUGCAGAUGUUUGGGGAGUGGGAAUCAAAGAGAAUGAAGAGAUGGGUAGAAAGAAUAUGCCACAGAGAGAGAGAGAGACACACACACUGAUUAGCCUAGUAUCCUACAUCAUUGUCUUUGGGAAGGUAAUAUCCUAUACUACACAAGAUGCUAAAGUGACCAGCCGGGGGAACCUCCAUUCUUGGGGGAUCCCAAUUCUAAACCUUUUGGUAAUUCAAAGCAGAUGGGAAAACUGAACAUGAUGCAGAUAAAGCUCACCUUUCUGCCUGCGUACUUCAUUUCCAAUUUAUGUGGAGGUGUUUCCAUUAUGUACAGGGCAGAAUGAGAAUGUGUAAGGAUCUUGGGGCCUGGUUUUCUCAAACCAUGGCUGGGAGACAGCUUGAAUCCCUUUCAUUCUCUAAUUCUUAUUAGUGCCAUUUGGGGUCUUCCCUGCCAAUAGAACAGCUUGUGCUGCUGCUGCUACAGAGUUUCCCAGUAUUGUGCCAGAAGUGAGACUCAUCCCAGAGGGAGAGUGGACUCCUAAACUGGCCCUUGUGCCCCAUAAGCGGAAUGAAUCUGCGGGCUCAAGCUACACCUCUGCAGGCAGCUCCCAACUCUGUACUAAAAUAGGGAUAUCAUUCUACAAGAAUUAGCGCCUGCAGUUGGAAUUUACUAAUAUAUCUACGUAAAGUACCAUUUACACUCUUAACCAAAGGGAAUAGUCAUGGACCAUUAUUAUAUAUAUACAUACACACACACACACAAAUAAAUAAAAUUUAUACUUACAUAGAUCUAAAUUAAUACUCUGAAAAAAGUAUUUUUAAAAGGGUUGUUUCUUAGAUGUCAUUCUCCUUGUGAUGUGCCACUUUGGAAGCUGGGGAGUGGAUUCAGCACAAUAGCCCUCUUAGGCCCUAGCUCAUACGCUAUAGUGGUAAGUAAAGUCUAUAGUUCCAUAGCUGUAAGGAAACAUCCUGCCAUUCAUGCUGAAAGGUCUCAUACACUGUAGUUAAAAAUGAAAUAGCACCCACAAAGAGGAUUUGUAUUUGUCAUCUUUUUAACUUAGAUAAAUAGUCAAAUCUUUAAAAAAAAAUAAAUUAAAAAUGGUGCUCCUGGCAAGAGUCCAAAGCCUGCCCAAAGUUUAUUCACCCCACAGCAAAUGUUUACAGCCACAUUACAACACCGUGGGAAAAAAAACAAAAACAAAAACAGAAUCUUAAUGGAAAAACACCAUCAUGGCCAGAUGUUUGCCACUACUAGUGGUGCUAGGUGCAUAUGAUGCAACACCCACACACACAUUAUCCUGAAUAUAACCCACCUACUGAAGAGAAUGACUUUUGACCUAACCAGAAACAGUCAUUAGACAGCUACGUUUAAUGGGGGAAACUUCCCUGCAAAGUCACAGCUACAUUUUGGUCAGCAUGAGGCUAUGCAAAUGGUUUAAGAUCUUGUAUGUACAAAGAAGUGUGCGUCUCAUCCCUAGUAGCUCAGCAAAUCUCACACUAGACAAUCUUGUAAUCAGAUUUCCUGCAGCACAACACUCUUCAGAUGGCUUCAUUGCAUUUUACACAGUACAGCAGUAGUGUAUGCUAGAGAUACAGCAGCUUUAAAAGGAAUUUUUUAUUUUUUUUUUUACUCAGAAACAAAAGUCACACAACUGAUUUAUUUUGUCCAACUGCAGCAACAAGAGUUGGACAUAGUCUUCCCACACACAGACCUUUAAACCAGGGCAUAUAAAUGAGCAUUUAGGUCAGAGGCUCAUUGAAAUUGAAUUAACUACUGCAGAAGAAAAAACAGUGUUGGGGAGAGCAGAAAUGGGAGAUGGCUCAUGGCCUGGAUGCCAACAAAGAUUGUUGCUGCAUGUUCACGAACAUUCACAAAGCAAAGGAUCAGUAUGCUGCAUAAUAAUGGCAAAUCUACAAAGCUGGUCAUGUCUCUUUUACAGACUGGUUCUUAAUGCCCAACUCCGGUUUAUUAGCAGCAGGUUUAAGAAACCUAGGAGAAUUCAAUUAAAUAAAAAAGGCUCCUAGUAUAUAUAUUAUAUAUAUAAAAAAUCUAAUGUAAAGCUGCACAUAGAACUGAAGCCACUAUUUGAUUAAACAAGCCAGGGCAUGGCUUAAGCAUUUCUAAAGCUGGCCAAGGUACCCAACACUGCUUCCUGCUCAUCACACCGCAAGCCAGAACAGCUCAGCAGAGAGGGACAAAUUAGAGUCCAUCUGCACAACUGACACCGUCAGAACCUUUACAAUUCCCUAUGCUGCAACUCACAACUAUCCAGCAUAGUUUGUUGCCUGGGACACUGCAUAUCAGACAAAGAUGUGAACAAUCCCCACCUGAGGAUGUAAUCAUUCAAACACAGGGCUGGGUUUAAAUGAGCAACUUCUGGUCACAAAGAAAAACAGGCAAAAGUUAAAACCAGAUUUAUAAUUUAAUUCCUUUCACUAUAUCUGCCAUCCAACUUCCAUGGACAUAGCUAUGGCAGAAAGUUCUUUUCUUCCGUUUUCCUCGCAUUCUAAUAUUCAGGUACAUGCUACAGUACAUCAACGGUGCUAAGGGUCUCCUUGGGGGCAAAAACUCCCAUGAACUCAGAGGUAACGCUAUAGCUCCAGCCUGAACAUGUCCAGUUGACCUAGUGAACCAUGUUCCACAUCACACUACAUGCCAGUUAAGGUCAGCAGCUCUCACUUUGGUAGAUUUGAGUCCCCAACCUUAAAAUGAUUUAAUAAUGAAAUAGUAAAAUAAAGAAAAGGGUUAUGGAAGCGGACUCUGAAUUGCAGUUGUCUCUCUAGGUCACUCCAUACAUGCAUUGAGGAGUCGGGCAUCUAAUUGGGGUACGUGCAAAAUCAAAUUAACAGUUGCUACUCAUAUUCAGUAGUUUAUUAGAUAAUGUAGUAACUGGCAGCUAAUUUCUAAAAGACAAAAAAUUGAAACAUGGCAGAAUUUUAUUAUAAGCUGGUCAACAUGAUCCCUGUCCAAGUUCCCCUCAAGGCCUGUGGUUCCCAAAUGUGUUAUCAUUUAGUCUUCUCCCAGCCUUGUGUUGCACAGCCUUCAAUGUAAGUGCUCUGUCUUUACCAAAGACUAAACAUGCUGCCUCCUACAGCUCGCCCAGUCUCUCUGGCCCAGAAAAAUGGGACUGAGCUAGAGCCAUGAACUUUGCUCCCACAUAUGGGCAGUGUGAUGGGCUAUCACUGAAUCAGACCAAACUGACACCACUUUGAAAGGGUCCCUAUAUCAGAUCAAAUUCACCCCAAUAUGGGCAUUUUGCUUUUACAAAUACGCUUUUACAAAGCCAAGAUCAAGAGAAACGUGAAUUUACAAUACCACCAGUGGACUAAAACCAAGAACAAUCCCUUGCAGUGUUUGCAACCCAGGCAUCACGCUAGCAGUGCAUUUGUGAAAGGAGCUAUAAACUGCCUAGAAAUCAAAGUAAAACUGAUUCAUCUCUCAUCAUUGUCCAAGCUCAGAAAAAUGCAAAAAGGAAACAGUGAAAAGUCACUAGAUUUAAUUUUUUUUUCAGUUUUAGAUUAUCCCAAGGUAUGGGUUAUAGCAGAUAAAGGAACUUACAAAAAAAAAGUAUGGUACAACCUUCAUUAGUCAAAUAUUGUGAGAGAUGCUCAAUAAUUUCAGAUAACGGAAGUUUUGGGGAAAAUCAUCAAGGGUUUUUUCAAUACAAUUAAUAGAUGAAGGGGGAUAUGACCCUGUUCUGGACAAUUGGGAGUUUCCGAUAAUCAAACUUAAAUGUUCCUUUAGUUGAAGACCUUACUCUGUAUCCUUAUCCCAGCUGUUUCCAUAGUCAUUUAUAAAUACUCGAGAGAGAAAGCCUCUCUAAUCCUGUGUAGAACGUGUGGUGUGGCUUACCUAGCAACUGGAAGAAACAAGAAAAAACGGGCUGAAAUGCAAACAGACUUUUUAAAAGUUUCAACAGAAAAAUUCAUUUAAUUUUUUUUAAUGUUGCAACCUUACACAAAAAUUAGUAGCUCCCAUUUUCAAAUAGAAAGGGGAGUUUAAAAGGCAGAUACAGUUUUUUGUAUGAUUCCUGGGAAUUCUUUGGGGAUAACAUUUUCUUAGUUUCAAGUCAAUCACUAAAACAUAUUCAAUAUCAUUCUGCAAAGGUAACCCAAGUAUGGGAGGUCACAUUCAAGUACGCCAGAAUGUAGGAGCACCUUCACAUAGACGGGGGGGGAGGAGGGAGAGGGUGACAAUGAAAUGGCCACUUGUAAUUCAAAUGACCUUGGAGUUGCACUGGAUUCCAUCUCCAAGGAUACCUGCGGAAGCCAAGGGACAGCACAAUUAUCACAGUCAUCUGAAAAGCAACAGAGAUUUGGUGCGAAAAUGUAGGAGAAUUCAUGGGAGUAGGCCUGGGCCUGACAGUCACUAGCAACAAACCACCCCAAAAGGGGAGGUUGUUAAAAGAAAAGAGAGAGCAUCCGUUGUUUUCAAUACAGCAUCAGUUGGAGUGUGCAGGGAAAAUACUCUCCAAUGAAAUCACUUUAAACUAGAAAAGAAGAGUCAACAAGCCUCAAACUCAGAUAUGGAUUCAGUCCAUCUUAUCACCAAAACAUUUCCAGGCCAAGUUUUGCAUUCCAAUAACCAAGAACACCACAACUCUUUUCCUCCAUACUGGUUAUACCCCAUCAGCGGAGUGUGGACUAUGAUUAGUAACACAAAGGGGAAAAGACAGCAAGAGAGAGGAUCACCACUACAAGAAUUUAGGUUAUCAAUACAUAUUUCAUUUAGAAAUUAUAGCUAUGAAGUUGCAAGCAUGGAAUGGUGGAUAACUUUAUCACCACUAACUGAACAGCAGACACAGAUAGGGACGUGAUGGAAAUAAUGACUAUUUUAGUUAUUGAUUUCUUAAGUUUGUUUACAAACUGGAUUUUAAUAUAUGGCUAUUCCAAUCCAAUACGGUUUGUUUUAAUAAAGCUGGAUAUUUUCCUAAACUUAGUUUUUAGUGUGUGUAAACAGGACAAAUUUAUCUUACUCAUGCAUUUAAGUUUCCCUUUUUACUUACUUACUUACUGAUAAAGGGUUGAAAAAGCAUGUAACAGGGAAGAAAACUUGCUUCUGGCUUUGCAACAAUCUUGCUUUGGCAGGGAUGGAUUAGAUAACAUAUUAGGUUGUUUCAAUCGCCAGUACCUAUAAUUUGCCCUUUUUAAGAGGAAAUUCUGCAGAGGAAUUUUCAUUAGUAACUGCAGUGUUUUAGCUGAGCAGCUUUCUAGAACUGGCAGCAUGCUAGAGAACCACUCGAGAGGCCUGACAGUAGGUAUAAAUACUCUUAUCAGCUGCUGGAAAUAAGGAAGGAGAACACUUUUCCAUAGGCUCUACAGGAUUUGGGGUAAGAAGUGCUAUUUUUCCUAGUGUGGAUCCAACACUAGCCAAGCGCCAACUAAAAGGCUGGCAAAGAAGGGUUAAUUCAUAAGUGGCAUGGCUGCUUCCUAGAAUGGAAGGUGAAUGCACCAGACUGGUGAGGGAUGACGUAGAAAACACUACUUGGAUAAACUAAAGAUUCUGGGGUUUUACAGGUUCACUGGUUCCACUUGCAACUCGAGAUAAGUACACUCGAUUAUCUUCAACUAGCAGCUUGGCCAGCAGGUGUUCUGAGCCACAAAGGAGAGGCUGGAAAAUGUUACACUGCCCUGAAUGCUGGAGGGGCAAAUAUGUCCACUUUAAAAUCUAUAAUCUAUAACCCAACAACUGAUCUGUGGAAACACUCACCUGCUGUAAGUCUACAAGUCUCCAUUGAUUUCAAUGGAUCUAUGAUUUAAGGCAGCUUAUGGUAUGGUCCUAUUUAUGCACAUUUUCAAGGAGAAGCAAUGCAAACAAUAUUUUUCAUUUGUCAGUCAUCCAGCAUUUGCUCACCUGACCUGUUACAAGACUUAAAAAGCCUGUCUUAAACAAAGGAUUCCCAGCCUCAUAGUUCUUUCUGGGGGUUUGCUGAAAUUCAAAGUACCAUUCACGUGAUGUUACUGACGGGCUGUAGGGGCACAAACAAAUUGUGCUGCACUCUCAUCGCUGUGCUCUAUUUCUGAGUCUCUGCUAAUAGUCUCCUCUUAGCAUCACGGCUUUGAGCAAACCGUUACAUCAGCUGACUACUGUCAAAAAACCAGACUUAGCCACCAAGAAUAGGUGCAAAGUUGCUGAUUGGCCGACUGUGACUAUUAGGCAAAUUACAACAGCCGCCACUAGAUUUCAGAAAUCAAUUCAAUGCACUAAAAUCCAGAGAAUCUGUCCACUCACUGCCACCAACGUACAGAUAAAUUAGAAUGGUCAAGCUGUAGAUGCACUGCUGUCUUCAAGGCUGUCUGUUCCUCUAAAGGUGUAACCCUAAACCAUGUCCCCCAGGAAUUUUCUCCUCUUUGGAAACCAAGAAAUUUGUUUUUGCUCAGCUUUCAUACAGAAAGUGGAUCUCAGUCACAGGGAAUAGGACUUGGGAAAGAGAAAGAAAACCUAGAAGAGAAGUAGUGUCACCUGUUUACAGUUAGCCAUUACUACUAUAUUUGUCUCCUCCCUAAGAUGCUAGAAGAAAUGAAUCAGCUCUGCUCUGCUCCUUAACACCCGUGAACUGCCACGUGUACAGCAUAUGAAUGGUCUCAUUUGCUCUAUCUUGAGGAAAUCCGUCCCAUUAAAAGUUCCACCCUGAGCUUGCUGCUCACUGCACUCUGCUCCAUAACAGCAUUGUCAGUUUGGAUUUAACAGCAAGAUGACAACACUGCACUGCAUCAGUGGAUGCAGAAAGGACAGACAGAUCCCUAAAAAGAAGACACAUGCUCCAUCAUUGCUAGCUUACUUUUCUCAUUUCCAAAGCUAUCAGGAUCUUUAAGUUAAGAAAUGUCUUUGGUGUUUAGACAGAAGACAGCAGAAGGGGUUGUAUAAUAAAAACUACAACUGAUUAACUGGAGGCUGAAAGAGGGUCAUUCUGCACAGCAUCUACUCCCCAACUGCUUCAGGUGUCUCAGAAAUCGGUAGGGAUACUGGGUCUGCACUGAACUUUUUAGUACAUUAUGAAAAGAACAUGAUUUAAUCCAACUGCUGAAUUAAAAACAAAUAUAUGUUUAAAAGGAAAUUAUCUUGACUACUGGCCAGUCCCAAAUGCAAUUGACUCCUGGUCCUUUGUCUAACUAUAUCAUUGGGAGGCACGGGGUGGAGAGCAAAGGAAAACUUCAAAAUCCUGUUUUAAAAACAGUAGUUGCCAGUUUUCAUGUAGAAAAUGUGAGGCCUCUGUUCUUUUGGUUUGCAUUAGUUUAUGAGAUUCAUUCUCAAAUACUGUCUUUAAUCCCCACUGCCCCUCACCCCAGAAAUUUACACUCACUGUCUCAGCUUCACACCAUGGGACACCUGCUGAAAUCUACUUCCAAGUUUCAAUCUGGUGCUGGACUGUUGACCUUAAGCCAUUUGGUCUUCAGGCCAGAGGGUCGUACUGCCAGAAAGGACUGACAACCACUGAUGCAGAAGGCUAACCAUAUGCCCCUUGGGUUCACAGGAAAGGUGAUGGUAGUUUCAUUCUAGGAUGUUAUGAAUAAACCAUACUGCCCCAGAAGCAGGGGGACAUAUGAACAACUAGAAAACCAAAUAUAUACAGAACCUUUCAAAGAUGCCGUUUUCUCACAUGUUCAGUCACUAUGAUUUUCGGCUGUGAAUUCAGAAGCGGAUGAUGAAUAACUGAGAAAUCAGUGUGAGGACAACCCACCCCUUUUUGUUUUUUUUUUCUUUUCUUUAAAAGAAAUAGAUUAAUGCUGCUCGUCCAUCUUCUCACUUUCCCUCAAAGGGAAUGGACAGAAACCAUAUUUUGAAGAUCCAUCUGGUUGAGCCCUGUAGCUCCCCCUCCCAAAUCCCCAUAUAAACAAACAUGAAUAUAUGGAUCUUUUGCAGGAGUGAGUUUGUUUAAAAAAACAACAACAACUGCCUUUCCCCCCCGUUUGGUAUCAUGUUACUUUAAUGCUGUUCCUACGAGAAGCUGCACCCAUCCUUCUAAAUCUUCUUGGGUGGCCCUUUUCAAUGGUCAUAUGUUUUGAAGCUCUGAGAGGCAGAAUAGCAAGCCAUCAGAGAUGAUCAGCCUUCUUCCCAGAGAGCAGAUGUAUGUGUGAUACAUUCCUUUAGAUGCUGAACUGUAACUCCCAUCCCAAAGGGAAGGAGAUUUAAAAAAAAAAUAAAAAAUCCCAGCAGUCAUACAAUCAGUUGUCUGUAUUUUUUUUUUUUUUUAAUCUAAAAAGAGGAAAAAUAUCCCAUAAGUAAAGGCAGAACUGAGUUCCAGGUACAGGUAGUUGGGAGGAUUUUUCUCUUUCUUUUUGG
Long non-coding RNA from Gopherus evgoodei (Goodes thornscrub tortoise), 8847 nucleotides. RefSeq lists it as uncharacterized. The record is from RefSeq and is a predicted model, not a curated record. The transcript has 2 exons. Lineage: Eukaryota; Metazoa; Chordata; Testudines; Testudinidae.